UUGGGAGUGCUAGCUCGCAAAGAUAAUAUCCUUUGGCUGAUCUAAGAGAAACAUGAUGAAGAUGAAGAAUAAAGAGACCCUCUCCUUUUCUUUCUGGAUCCAUGCAUCUGAUCUCUAUAAUAGAGAUCAAGAACCCCUUCUUCUUGUUGUGAUCCAGGUGGUGUGCCCAAGGCCCAGGGGACCAAGGCUAAGGCCAAGG
RNAcentral lists this long non-coding RNA (199 nucleotides) under Elaeis guineensis (African oil palm). RNAcentral describes it as "long non-coding RNA (EGUI_LNC053187)". The record is from RNAcentral. Lineage: Eukaryota; Viridiplantae; Streptophyta; Magnoliopsida; Arecales; Arecaceae.